ACAUCAUAUGAAAGGAGAGGUUAGCUCUCCCCUUGACAAAGAUGGAAGGGCUUGAGCCUCACAACACACAUGUAGCUAAGGCACUGGCACCGAGGCUGUGGCGUCUAAUCACUGUCUUUA
RNAcentral lists this non-coding RNA (120 nucleotides) under Neotoma lepida (desert woodrat). Lineage: Eukaryota; Metazoa; Chordata; Mammalia; Rodentia; Cricetidae. The record is from RNAcentral.